This 1489-nucleotide long non-coding RNA is filed under the name Mus musculus (house mouse). RNAcentral describes it as "long noncoding RNA near Ppara (Lncppara)". The stretch from base 1284 to 1368 matches the Rfam family "let-7 microRNA precursor family". Lineage: Eukaryota; Metazoa; Chordata; Mammalia; Rodentia; Muridae. The record is from RNAcentral.
UCACUGUCCCCAUGUCCCUGCUUGGCCUUCCUUCUGUCUUACUAAUGGCUCUGCCAUGAUGAUUUGGGCCCGAGGGAGGUAGGAUAGUGACUUGAUUCAUGGUGUGAGUCUGUAGUCCAGUGAGCCCUUUCUCUGGGUCUCUGCUCUUUGGGAGAGUUCAAGCCCCAUUUGCCCUAUGUCCUAGGGAAGUUGCACGCGGGCCACUGGCCACCCACAAAAACACGCUUGCCCACCAUGGGUGAAGUUGGAGCAUAGUCUCUGACCCACAUGCCCAGCACAGGGCUGAGCUUAGAGGCCGUUCCAUCCAAGGCUUUGCAUGCAAAGUGUCACCAGGCAAAAGGCAGACUGGAUGAAAAUGCCAUUGUGCUAUAGGAUCUUAAGGAGUGGCCAGGGGAGGCCACCAGGGGCCAGGCUUUCUCCCUUCUGAAGUUGAUGAUCAUUGCUUUUGUUUCUAACCCCCAAGGUGGUCAGGAAGUGGAACCAAGCAGGAAGUUCUGCAUGCCUAUGGCUUCCCUGUGGAGGGACCUCAAGAAGCCACAACAUCCAGCUCUACGCCAAGACUGACUGACGGCCUUUGGGGUGAGGUAGUAGGUUGUAUGGUUUUGGGCUCUGCCCCGCUCUGCGGUAACUAUACAAUCUACUGUCUUUCCUGAAGUGGCCGCAAUAUCUGCAGUGGAUACAACGGCGGCCCUGGCUGGGGAGACUGAGGGAGGGACAGGGGGGUGAUAACUACCAUGCAAAAAGAGCCUGACAGAGACCUUGGAUAGUCCCUUGACCUCUCUGGGCUGUUACUCAUCUGUAUAAGGGUUGGGGCAUAGCGAUGAAAACAGACAGCAUUUUCAGGGCACCUUCUCUCCCUGGCCCACACUGAAGGGGCCUUCCUGCCCCUGGCCCCAUAUCAGACCUGUGCUCACAGGUCUCCAUGAAAAGAGGGUCUGGACUAGACCUUCAACUAUGUUCCAGAGUUGCCCAGGCUUUCCAGCGCAGGGUCAGGCCUCUGACGAGCAAGCGUCUCUUCCGAGAAGAAAUUGAAAAGGAGCCAUUCUUAGCACACCCAUGAGUACAGCCUGCAGAUGGACCGUGUAGGCCACUGUCCCCUGUCCCUGGGGCAAUGGGUUCAGACACCAGAGGCUUCCUCAAUCUGUUUGGUAGGCACAGGCCUUUCUCACUGAACCUCUGUCUCCACUUCCCCCUCCCCCACCCCGCCCUGUGCCCUAUGGCUCUAGUGGCCUGUGGCCAGGGUGGGUGGGGAGCGGCUGGGCCUCCUCCAGAACACGGACACCGCAGGGUGAGGUAGUAGGUUGUGUGGUUUCAGGGCAGUGAUGUUGCCCCUCCGAAGAUAACUAUACAACCUACUGCCUUCCCUGAGGCGCCCAGGGACACAGCUACAUGGAGGCCCCCGCUCAGCAAGCUAAAUGGAGCCACAGAUUGGGUGGGGGCUAUGACGUGGGACCUGGGUAUAAAUAAAGGAUGUUCUGUCAUGAACUUA